GACGAACGCUGGCGGCGUGCUUAACACAUGCAAGUCGAACGGAAAGGCCCCUUUGGGGGUACUUGCGUGGCGAACGGGUGAGUAACACGUGCGUAACCUGCCCUUGACUUCGGGUUAACUUCAGGAAACUGGGGCUAAUUCCGGCUAGGAAUCCUUGCUGCCUGGUGGGGGUUGGAAAGCUUCUGGCGGUUUGGAUGGAGUCGCGGGGUAUCUGCUUGCUGGUGGGGGGGUGGCUUACCAAGGCUUUGGCGGGGAGCCGGCCGGAGUGGGCGACCGGCCACAAUGGGACUGAGAUACGGCCCAGACGCCGACGGGAGGCAGCAGGGGGGAAUAUUGCACAAUGGGCGGGAACCUGAUGCAGCAACGCCGCGUGCGGGAAGACGGCCUUCGGGUUGGAAACCGCUUUCAGCAGGGGCGAAGCUUGUGGUGACGGUACCUGCAGAAGAAGCACCGGCUAACUACGUG
This 465-nucleotide ribosomal RNA is filed under the name uncultured bacterium. Its description in RNAcentral is "partial 16S ribosomal RNA". It matches the Rfam family "Bacterial small subunit ribosomal RNA", at positions 28 to 507 of the family's 1533-position model. The record is from RNAcentral.